AGAUCACUACUUAUAUUAAAGAUAUACUUUUUUAAAUUUCUCUUUUUAUUCCACCAUAUUACAAUCGUUCAUUUUGAUCCCUUUCAACAACUCAUCCUCCGUCCCAUUAACACUUGCAUGAAUUGUGCAGUUGGCAUUCCCAAAUCUACAACAACUUCACUUCGGAUGGGAUGAUGGGAUGAAAGAGAGAUUGCAUGGCCUACGACCUGCAUCGGACUACUUUUGCAAACUUAAAGUUCUCCGACUUGUACGGUUUCCUCAACAAUUAGCUAUAUUCCCAUCUUACCUGUUCCAAUUACUAUCCUUACCCAAUCUCGAAGCCUUCAAAUAGCACAUUGUUACUUUGAAGAGUUGGUAUUCCAAAGUGAAGGAGUUGGUGGUGAGGAAGGAUUCCAAAAUCUAAGGAUUUUACAUGUGAAACGCUGUCCCAAAUUAAAAAGUAAUUUCGUUCCGUCUUCAGUAUGUUUCCAGUAUCUGAUGACUCUUGAAGUUCAAUUUUGUGAUGGGAUCAUAAAAUUAGUUACACAUUCAACAGCCAAAAGCCUAGUGCAGCUCAGAGAAAUGAGGAUAAGUUAUUGUAGAGAGAUAGAAGAAAUCAUAGAAGGUAGCGAUGGGGAUCGUGAUGAAGUGAAGGAUGAAAUCAUUUUCCCCAAACUCAACCUUUUGGAACUUACUGGGCUAUCAAAUCUAGAAAGCUUCUGCUCAUCAGGGAAUCAUACCUUUGGAUUCCCAUCCUUAGCAACCGUACUUGUGCAUGAAUGCCCAAAGAUGAAGAUGUUCUCUAAGGGAGGGUUAAACGCUCCGAUGUUGCACAAAGUACGACCAAAUGAGUGGGCAGAUGAAGGGUAUUGGAUUUGGGAAGGAAGCCUUAAUAGCACCAUACAAAAACUGUUCACGGAAAGGAAUCCCAUGGAGGAAAUGCAGUAUUCUAUAGAAGAUCAACGCAAUCCUUCAAUUUCUAACACACAAUCAACAUAGUCGAGAAUUCUGAAGAAGAUCAGCUCAAUCCUUCAACUGCCAAGAAACAGAGUAAGUUCUUCAUUUGAAGGUGUUUUCUUCAUCUCAAGUGCAGAAGUGCAAGGGUUCUAAUUCCUAUUUCCUUCACGGCCAGCAUUUAUGUGCCAUGGCAGAGUGAAGUAAACAAUGUAUGUAUUUUGAGACAUCAUUAUUGAUACUUCAUCGUUUGAAAUCAAAUGGUUAUAAGAUUUCUUUAUUAUAAUACAAGGGUUCUUUAAAAUGAAAUAAUGGUACUCUUUUUUUUCGUUUCUUUUGAUUGUCAAUUAUCAUAUUACUAAAGGGCAGUGCUGCCAAGCUAUUCUGUCUCUAAAGACAAGUUUAAUCAUGCUGCAUUUGAUCAACCUGUAAAUGGUUGCAGCUUCUUUCUUUUAGUCUUUUAUGUUUCUAUGGUGACUAAUUAUAGCUUGCCAUUUAUUUGAACAACCUUGGAAGAAAUAACAUAUGUACUACUUUUCUAUUUUUAAUGAUCUGGGUGUUGAGAAGUUAUGGAUGACAACAGUUCUGAAGUCAGAGGAUAAGGAGAAAUAUUAUGAAGUUCAGGAUCACAUACUUAUUUUGAAAUUUCAAGGAUUUGCGACUCUCCCUUUUUGGGAAGGUACAAACUAUUUCACGUUGAAACUUGAAAGAAAGCUCAAUUCAUAUUUAUUCUGGAGGCUCAAAUUGAUGGUUUUUGUUUGGGCUGGCUGAUGGUUUGUGUUUGUUUACAGGUGAUUUUCUGCUGCAUUGAACCAAUGGCAAAUUCUUGAGUCCAUUGGGUGCCCCAAGGUGUGCUGUGCCUACAACAUUUUGUGAAUGGGCAAUUUAUCCAUCCUGAUAUAACCUGUUCCAUUCUACUCGACCCUUGUGCUGAGUUCCAUGCUACCUUGGUGGCACUGUUCAGAAGCAUGAUUUGAUGGCUCAUGGUGAACAAGAUCUGUGAUUGACAUUUUUUAUCAUCAAUGUGAAUUGUAAAUAGAGCAUUCAAUGUCAAGGAGGCAGAUGGUACAGGAAAAUUGGGCAGAACGAAUACCCCUCCUAGUUUUCUCAUACGAUGAGGGCUAAUGCCAAUUAAUCCUACUGAUUGAAUGGAAGAAUGGGAAAGAAUCCAAUCGCCAUUGAAGGUUUACAAAGUAUUUGCCUCAUGUCAAGUGAAGAAGCUGGUCCUUUUCAAACUUUAGCAAAGGCUUACUAGUUUCAUUUCGUUAAUUGAAAACAUAUACAAGUCAAAACACUUGCAGAAAGCCCAAUGAUUGACAACUCAUUGGGAUGGAGCAGUUUUUUCUGAUUUUUAUUUAGGACAUUUUCUAUCAGCAUUGACAUAAACAGAACAACCUAUAGCAAGGAUCUUGGUCCUCUGAUUACACUAUAAGCCAAGAGUUUCCAAGUAUAAGAAACAGAGGAUCGUUGUUCAAGUACAAUGGUUUUUAUCUACAAUAGAUAUCAG
Non-coding RNA from Durio zibethinus, 2440 nucleotides. The record is from RefSeq and is a predicted model, not a curated record. Lineage: Eukaryota; Viridiplantae; Streptophyta; Magnoliopsida; Malvales; Malvaceae.